Molecule: ribosomal RNA, 694 nt
Filed under: uncultured marine bacterium
Lineage: Bacteria
Description: bacterial SSU rRNA
Rfam family: Bacterial small subunit ribosomal RNA
Source: RNAcentral
CUGGCGGCAGGCCUAACACAUGCAAGUCGAGCGCACUCUUCGGAGUGAGCGGCGGACGGGUUAGUAACGCGUGGGAAUAUACCCAGUUCUAAGGAAUAGCCACUGGAAACGGUGAGUAAUACCUUAUACGCCCUUCGGGGGAAAGAUUUAUCGGAAUUGGAUUAGCCCGCGUUAGAUUAGAUAGUUGGUGGGGUAAUGGCCUACCAAGUCUACGAUCUAUAGCUGGUUUGAGAGGAUGAUCAGCAACACUGGGACUGGGACACGGCCCAGACUCCUACGGGAGGCAGCAGUGGGGAAUCUUAGACAAUGGGCGAAAGCCUGAUCUAGCCAUGCCGCGUGAGUGAUGAAGGCCCUAGGGUCGUAAAGCUCUUUCAACUGUGAAGAUAAUGACGGUAGCAGUAGAAGAAACCCCGGCUAACUCCGUGCCAGCAGCCGCGGUAAUACGGAGGGGGUUAGCGUUGUUCGGAAUUACUGGGCGUAAAGCGCACGUAGGCGGAUUAGUAAGUUAGAGGUGAAAUCCCAGGGCUCAACCCUGGAACUGCCUUUAAUACUGCUAGUCUUGAGUUCGAGAGAGGUGAGUGGAAUUCCAAGUGUAGAGGUGAAAUUCGUAGAUAUUUGGAGGAACACCAGUGGCGAAGGCGGCUCACUGGCUCGAUACUGACGCUGAAGUACGAAAGUGUGGGGAGCAAACAGG